Molecule: ribosomal RNA, 359 nt
Filed under: uncultured bacterium
Lineage: Bacteria
Description: bacterial SSU rRNA
Rfam family: Bacterial small subunit ribosomal RNA
Source: RNAcentral
AACGAACGCUGGCGGCAUGCCUAACACAUGCAAGUCGAACGAGACCUUCGGGUCUAGUGGCGCACGGGUGCGUAACGCGUGGGAACCUGCCUUUAGGUUCGGAAUAACUCAGAGAAAUUUGAGCUAAUACCGGAUAAUGUCUUCGGACCAAAGAUUUAUCGCCUUUAGAUGGGCCCGCGUUGGAUUAGCUAGUUGGUGGGGUAAAGGCCUACCAAGGCGACGAUCCAUAGCUGGUCUGAGAGGAUGAUCAGCCACACUGGGACUGAGACACGGCCCAGACUCCUACGGGAGGCAGCAGUGGGAAUAUUGGACAAUGGGCGAAAGCCUGAUCCAGCCAUGCCGCGUGUGUGAAGAAGGCC